Molecule: long non-coding RNA, 434 nt
Filed under: Mytilus galloprovincialis (Mediterranean mussel)
Lineage: Eukaryota; Metazoa; Mollusca; Bivalvia; Mytilida; Mytilidae
Source: RNAcentral
GACAGAAUAAAUGGAUUCGUCAAGUUUAAGAUGCUUUAUUCAUACGACAUAAAUAAAUUAACCCUGAAAGUACACAAAUAACAAAACGUAAAUACAUAGACAGUACAGUGUACAAAGGGAUAUAACUCUAAAUCAUAAAACGGAAAGUACAUGUAUAAAAUACGAUAAACUAGCUCUUUUCUGUAAGAAUACAACCAAUACUAUUUAAGUGUAUAUAUUAUAAAUAUAUGAAUUCAAUCAAACUCAAUUAUCAACCAAGUCAGGAUUAAUUGCUACAUUAUGUCCAAUUAUGUUACGCUACUCAUUCAUAGAUUUAUGAAUGAACUAUUUCUUACUAUAAUGUUUACAUGUAAUAAUUGACAUACAGGUAACUACUAUUCAGAAGACACAAACAAUACAUAUACUGAACUAAAAUUAAAUAGACAAACACAGAC